This 591-nucleotide ribosomal RNA is filed under the name fungal sp. ARIZ L650. RNAcentral's name for it is "eukaryotic LSU rRNA". The stretch from base 229 to 382 matches the Rfam family "5.8S ribosomal RNA". Lineage: Eukaryota; Fungi. The record is from RNAcentral.
GAGGAAGUAAAAGUCGUAACAAGGUCUCCGUUGGUGAACCAGCGGAGGGAUCAUUACUGAGUUAUCCAAAACUCCCAACCCUUUGUGAACUUACCACUGUUGCCUCGGCGAGUUGUGCUACCCUAUAGCUACCCUGUAGCUACCCGGGAACACAUUCCAAGCUCGCCAGAGGACCUACCAACUCUGUUUUUAUACUGUAUCUCUGAACUUUAUAACUAAAUAAGUUAAAACUUUCAACAACGGAUCUCUUGGUUCUGGCAUCGAUGAAGAACGCAGCGAAAUGCGAUAAGUAAUGUGAAUUGCAGAAUUCAGUGAAUCAUCGAAUCUUUGAACGCACAUUGCGCCCAUUAGUAUUCUAGUGGGCAUGCCUAUUCGAGCGUCAUUUCAACCCUUAAGCCUCAGUUGCUUAGCGUUGGGACUCUACGAUCUAUUAUAGCGUAGUUCCUUAAAGUUAGUGGCGGAGUUAUAGCACACUCUAAGCGUAGUAAUUCUCUCUCGCUUCUUGUAGUGGUUAUAGUUGCUAGCCAUAAAACACCCCCUAUUUUAAUGGUUGACCUCGGAUUAGGUAGGAAUACCCGCUGAACUUAAGCA